AAAGCAGGUCAGGCAACCGCUGCCGCGCAAGCGCCCUUCGGGGGGCAUAACGGGAGAGGAAAGUCCGGGCUCCAAAGAGCAGGAUGCCGGCUAACGGCCGGACGCCGCGAGGCGAGGAACAGGGCCACAGAGACGAGCGUAUUAAGUUACGGUGAAACGCGGUAACCUCCAUCCGGAGCAACACCAAAUAGGCAGGCGAUGAAGCGGCUCGCUGAGUCUGCGGGUAGGUGGCUGGAGCCGGUCAGCAAUGGCCGGCCUAGAGGAAUGGUUGCCCACGACAGAACCCGGCUUAUCGACCUGCUUUUCCA
RNAcentral lists this RNase P RNA (308 nucleotides) under Hydrogenophilales bacterium. RNAcentral's name for it is "RNase P RNA component class A". It matches the Rfam family "Bacterial RNase P class A". From Rfam's summary of the family: Ribonuclease P (RNase P) is a ubiquitous endoribonuclease, found in archaea, bacteria and eukarya as well as chloroplasts and mitochondria. Its best characterised activity is the generation of mature 5'-ends of tRNAs by cleaving the 5'-leader elements of precursor-tRNAs. Lineage: Bacteria; Pseudomonadati; Pseudomonadota; Hydrogenophilia; Hydrogenophilales. The record is from RNAcentral.